AAUAUUGGACAAUGGGGGAAACCCUGAUCCAGCCAUGCCGCGUGUGUGAAGAGGGUCUUCGGAUUGUAAACCACUUUAAGGGGGGGGAAAGGGCUUGAGGUUAUUGCCGUGAAGUUUGGACGUUCCCAACGGAAUAGGCACGGUCUACCUCUGGGCCGGCAGCCGCGGUAAUACAGAGGGUGCAAGCGUUAAUCGGAAUUACUGGGCGUAAAGCGCGCGUAGGUGGUUCAGUAAGAUGGGUGUGAAAUCCCCGGGCUUAACCUGGGAACUGCUUUCAUAACUGCUGAGCUAGAGUACGGUAGAGGGUAGUGGAAUUUCCUGUGUAGCGGUGAAAUGCGUAGAUAUAGGAAGGAACACCAGUGGCGAAGGCGACUACCUGGACUGAUACUGACACUGAGGUGCGAAAGCGUGGGGAGCAAAC
This 421-nucleotide ribosomal RNA is filed under the name uncultured bacterium. RNAcentral describes it as "partial 16S ribosomal RNA". It matches the Rfam family "Bacterial small subunit ribosomal RNA", at positions 360 to 773 of the family's 1533-position model. The record is from RNAcentral.